Long non-coding RNA from Anolis sagrei ordinatus, 686 nucleotides. RefSeq lists it as uncharacterized. The record is from RefSeq and is a predicted model, not a curated record. Lineage: Eukaryota; Metazoa; Chordata; Lepidosauria; Squamata; Anolidae.
AAUGUCUCACUUCCUCUGCAAACAGGACAUGGACCUGUAUAAAAGGUCCACUGUCCCAGUCCUCCUCAUUCGAUCUUCAGGUUCCUCAACCUACCAGUCUACUCCUGAACAAGGCUCGUCCUUCCUUAUCAGCAAUGGGCAACUGUUCAUACGGUAGUGGCCAAAACCAGCCAUCAGUCAUGUGUAUGCCUUUGUCAUGUGGCGGUGGUGGUGGCUGCUGCCAGCCCUGCUGUGGCCAAUCCUGCGGCGGUGGCGGCUGCCUCUAUUUAGUCAGUAUGGGACGUAGCGGUGGUGGAUGUUGCGGCGGAUGUUGCGGCGGUGGCGGAUAUUAAAGCUCCGGAAUUGAACCUCUAUGAGGUCCGGCAUGGACAUUCCAACAGCCAGAACCAUCUCACUGUCAACGACAGCCACCUUGAGGACCUGUCCGAUGACCAUCUUCCUUUCCUUGUUGGCCAGUCAAAACCGUGAAGAAGCUUUGUGCCGGCCUCUUGCACAAAACAUCCCCCUUCUCUAUGUAUUUCCUUUUGCUUUUUGCUUUUUGCCAAACUGAUUCCACAAAGUCCUGAGAAACAAAAAGAGAUGUGACGGAUUGCGUUGGAAACAUGGGUGUGGGUCUCCUUCUCCUCUCCCUGGGCUAUGGAAAUCCCCAGGUUCUUCCUUUAAUAAAUGAAAUGCUGAAAUGAUAA